AGCGAACGCUGGCGGCAGGCCUAACACAUGCAAGUCGAACGAACUCUUCGGAGUUAGUGGCGGACGGGUGAGUAACACGUGGGAACGUGCCUUUAGGUUUGGAAUAACUCAGGGAAACUUGAGCUAAUACCGGAGGUGCCCUUCGGGGGAAAGAUUUAUCGCGUUUAGAGCGGCCCGCGUCCGAUUAGCUAGUUGGUGAGGUAAAGGCUCACCACGGCGACGAUCAGUAGCUGGGCUGAGAGGAUGAUCAGCCACAUUGGGACUGAGACACGGCCCGAACUCCUGCGGGAGGCAGCAGUGGGGAAUCUUGCGCAAUGGGCGAAAGCCUGACGCAGCCAUGCCGCGUGAAUGAUGAAGGUCUUAGGAUUGUAAAAUUCUUUCACCGGGGACGAUAAUGACGGUACCCGGAGAAGAAGCCCCGGCUAACUUCGUG
This 433-nucleotide ribosomal RNA is filed under the name uncultured bacterium. RNAcentral's name for it is "partial 16S ribosomal RNA". It matches the Rfam family "Bacterial small subunit ribosomal RNA", at positions 29 to 507 of the family's 1533-position model. The record is from RNAcentral.